This 688-nucleotide long non-coding RNA is filed under the name Macaca nemestrina (pig-tailed macaque). RNAcentral's name for it is "lncRNA (ENSMNEG00000045796.1)". Lineage: Eukaryota; Metazoa; Chordata; Mammalia; Primates; Cercopithecidae. The record is from RNAcentral.
CUAAAUUUGCGUAGAAGAAAUAAUCCAAGUUUUAAAAAGUUCCACUUAGUGGUCAUUUCUGUGAAGAAAAUAAAUAGCGCUGGAUGACAGUUGAGACUUACGUGAUUCAAAGGCAGUUACGCGAAGCUCUGGGGAAGAGCUUUCCAGGAGAGGGAAUGGCAGGUGCACAAGCCCCAAGGUAAGAAAGGGAAAGGCUAAGACCAGAAGGCAGGCUGAUAUGGAGGAAUCUUCCAGAAGAAGUCCAAAGGAUGAACUGAGACUGGACUUGAGGCAGGACCUUGUGAGCCCAGAUGGAAGUGGCAAUUGCCAAGUGGAGAAUAAGAAGAAAUGGAAAAGAAUGAAAAUAAGAAAGAUAAUAGGUGGAAGAGAGUCAGGCAGAGUGGAAGAAUCACAGAGCAGCACAGGACCCCGAGAUCCGCCCAUCAUCCAUUAACAAGUAUUCACGGAGCACCAAUACGGCGGGAAACUGGGAGGUGGAGCUUGCAGUGAGCCAAGAUCGCACCACUGCACUCCAGCGCGGGCGACCGAGAGAGACUCCGUCUCAAAAAAUUUCUAUUAGGCUGAAGGUCCCUACCAAUUAAAAAAAAAAAAAAAAAAAAAAAUUAAAAAAAAAUAUAAUAAAGCAUAAGAUAAUUAUAUUUUUGGAAAUGACACCUAACUUUAUGUAUGAUGAUGGUUUUCUUUUGAG